This 88-nucleotide transfer RNA is filed under the name Methanosarcina sp. RNAcentral's name for it is "tRNA-Leu". It matches the Rfam family "tRNA". From Rfam's summary of the family: Transfer RNA (tRNA) molecules are approximately 80 nucleotides in length. Their secondary structure includes four short double-helical elements and three loops (D, anti-codon, and T loops). The record is from RNAcentral. RNAcentral also lists the same sequence under 2 other names. Lineage: Archaea; Methanobacteriati; Methanobacteriota; Methanomicrobia; Methanosarcinales; Methanosarcinaceae.
GCGAGGGUUGCCCAGCCAGGUCAAAGGCGAUAGGUUGAGGGCCUAUUCUUGUAGGAGUUCGUGGGUUCGAAUCCCAUCCCUCGCACCA